GCUGAGGAUAAGGGUAAGAACUCCUCUAUUUCUCUCUCUAAGUUUUCUUUCCUUCUAUGAAUAGGAAUUGAUGAAUUUGAGGUUUUCUCCCUUCCCUCUUAUGGUUGAUGGUUGGGAGACCUGUGGGGCAGCUGUAGAGCUGUGAAUAGAAGUGUUUGACAGUGUUUCUUCAGACCUCACGCAGGGGAGAAUGGAGUUGGUGUUUUAGAAAGGGUUAUUGAUGGAGUUGUGAUGCAGUUUUGGGGUGUUUAUUCACAGCAGGUGUAGAGAUUCUGUUGAGCAGAAUUCUAAGAUGAUUUUUCAACCCCAACGCAAGGGAAAAGCUAAAGCUAAACCUGGAGAAGAUGGUUAACUGAGUAUUAACUUUGUGGUGAUGCUUUGAUAGAGUCAUUGGUGGAAUGGUAAUACUGUUUUUAUUCUGUUUUAACAGUUGGGAGCACUACUUUGAACUGAUUAUUGCAACAAUUGAAAGCUAAUUGGGAGUGACUCAACCUAAGUGGGAAACGAGCAGGGUUGUAGUAAACUAGAUGACUGCUCUCGGUAGUAAACUAGAUGACUGCUCUCGGCUAAGGGUUGAAGGCUUUUGAAGCUGAAACAUAGUGCAUUAACCUGAACUGAACCAAGGAUUCAAUUAUAGCAUUGUGCAAGGGUAUUUGGAGUGCUGUGGAUACUCAUACUUGCUAGUUUGACGAGGAUCAUCAAUUAGUAGGUGGGUCAGACCUUCCCGAAAUGGGUGAAUUUCCCUCUAUGUCUUUUUGACAUUAUUAAAAGUGGAAUAAUUGUAUAUCAUGUGAAUGUAGGUAUACUUGAACGGAUUGGGCAUGUAUAAAUCUGCAUAGCAUAUCGGAUAAAUGAAAAUAUAUAA
Molecule: long non-coding RNA, 865 nt
Organism: Ananas comosus (pineapple)
Lineage: Eukaryota; Viridiplantae; Streptophyta; Magnoliopsida; Poales; Bromeliaceae
Exons: 4
Source: RefSeq, a predicted model, not a curated record